This 400-nucleotide ribosomal RNA is filed under the name uncultured bacterium. Its description in RNAcentral is "bacterial SSU rRNA". It matches the Rfam family "Bacterial small subunit ribosomal RNA", at positions 355 to 748 of the family's 1533-position model. The record is from RNAcentral.
UGAGGAAUAUUGGACAAUGGAUGGAAAUCUGAUCCAGCCAUGCCGCGUGCAGGAUGAAGGCCCUCGGGUUGUAAAGCCCUGCGGGGAGAGACGAAUAAGUCGUGGCGAAUAGCCCCGAUGAUGACGGUAUCUCCUUAGCAAGCACCGGCUAACUCUGUGCCAGCAGCCGCGGUAAUACGUAGGGUGCGAGCGUUAAUCGGAAUUACUGGGCGUAAAGCGCACGCAGGCGGUUGGAUAAGUCAGAUGUGAAAGCCCCGGGCUCAACCUGGGAACUGCAUUUGAAACUGUUCGACUAGAGUCUUGUAGAGGGGGGUAGAAUUCCAGGCGUAGCGGUGAAAUGCGUAGAGAUGUGGAGGAAUACCGAUGGCGAAGGCAGCCCCCUGGGUUACUACUGACGCUC